AAACCUGAGGAACCCAAAAGAUCGAAUGGGGAGAUUCAUCGUCAACGAUGCUGGCUUCGCGAUGGCUCGUGAUGUCCACCGGACCUUUGGCACGCGGUCGUUGCGUUUUUGCGUCUGGCUGCGUCGGCGUGCACUUCUCCCCUAGUAGAACGUCGCGACCCGUUGGGUGCCGGUCUACGGCCUGGGUGGAUGCCUGAUCGCGCAUUAUGCGCCAGACACCCGGUGCCAAUGAACCGGCUGCCCGGCGGUACGCUCAUGGUAUCGGGCCGCAAACUCGAACUGCGUCGGGCCUACUUUGCCGCGAAUCAGUCCCUCGGUGGUACGGACCUAGCGCCGUCCCCUUGCCUGACUCGCAUGUGGCAAAUGGUGUCCUCCGACAGGCCCAUAGAUACCGGUCGGCGACGCUAAUGCUUUGGGUAAUCUCAGGACCCGUCUUGAAACACGGACCAAGGAGUCUAACAUGUGCGCGAGUCAUUGGGAACCGCAAGCCUAAAGGCGAAAUGAAAGUGAAGGUCGGCCUUAGCGCCGACCGAGGGAGGAUGGGCCGCGUUACGAUGCGGCUCCGCACUCCCGGGGCGUCUCGUUCUCAU
RNAcentral lists this ribosomal RNA (590 nucleotides) under Epyris yamatonis. Its description in RNAcentral is "eukaryotic LSU rRNA". It matches the Rfam family "Eukaryotic large subunit ribosomal RNA", at positions 417 to 780 of the family's 3401-position model. Lineage: Eukaryota; Metazoa; Arthropoda; Insecta; Hymenoptera; Bethylidae. The record is from RNAcentral.